UGGGGAAUAUUGGACAAUGGAGGAAACUCUGAUCCAGCAAUUCUGUGUGUGUGAAGAAGGUUUUAGGACUGUAAAACACUUUUAGUAGGGAAGAAAAAAAUGACGGUACCUACAGAAGAAGCAACGGCUAAAUACGUGCCAGCAGCCGCGGUAAUACGUAUGUUGCGAGCGUUAUCCGGAAUUAUUGGGCUUAAAGGGCAUCUAGGCGGUAAGACAAGUUGAAGGUGAAAACCUGUGGCUCAACCAUAGGCUUGCCUACAAAACUGUUGAACUAGAGUACUGGAAAGGUGGGUGGAACUACACGAGUAGAGGUGAAAUUCGUAGAUAUGUGUAGGAAUGCCGAUGAGGAAGAUAACUCACUGGACAGAAACUGACGCUGAAGUGCGAAAGCUAGGGGAGCAAACAGG
This 407-nucleotide ribosomal RNA is filed under the name Verrucomicrobiota bacterium. Its description in RNAcentral is "Verrucomicrobia bacterium partial 16S ribosomal RNA". It matches the Rfam family "Bacterial small subunit ribosomal RNA", at positions 355 to 776 of the family's 1533-position model. The record is from RNAcentral. Lineage: Bacteria; Pseudomonadati; Verrucomicrobiota.